GCAAGUCGAACGAGAAGCUAUAGCUUGCUAUAGUAGAAAGUGGCGAAAGGGUGAGUAACAAGUGAGUAAUCUGCCUCUGACUCGGGGAUAGCCCAUGGAAACGUGGAUUAAUACCGGAUAUGAAUUAUUUAUCGCAUGGUAAGUAGUUUAAAGUUUUUUGGUCGGAGAUGAGCUCGCUUCCCAUUAGCUAGUUGGUGAGGUAACGGCUCACCAAGGCAACGACGGGUAGGGGUCCUGAGAGGGAGAUC
This 248-nucleotide ribosomal RNA is filed under the name uncultured bacterium. RNAcentral describes it as "partial 16S ribosomal RNA". It matches the Rfam family "Bacterial small subunit ribosomal RNA", at positions 57 to 305 of the family's 1533-position model. The record is from RNAcentral.